This is a non-coding RNA of Pelobates cultripes (western spadefoot toad), 660 nucleotides long. The record is from the annotation of a GenBank genome assembly. NCBI's taxonomy places the organism in Eukaryota, Metazoa, Chordata, Amphibia, Anura, Pelobatidae.
UGGGCCCAAUCUGCGCUUUAAGCGCAUGUGGUAUGGUGCGUUUAUCAAAAAGGCACAGGUCUAUUCUGGAAUAUGUCAUGUGAGGUUGUGAAUAGAAUGUGUAAUCCCUAUCUGUGGGGUAUAGAUUGCGCCACACGUCAUAAUAGUCAUGGGUGUGUAGUAGGUUGGAAAGGUGGGAUCCCAGGGAGAUCGAUCUGCUCUUUGGUGUUUUAUAGUUCGUUCUACACAUGUCCAUGUGCGGGUCUGGUGAGCAAUUAAAGUCUCCACAUAUCAGUGUGUGGCCCUGCUUGUACCGAUCUAUUUUCCGGAAGGCCGUGGUCAGGAAGGAUUUCUGAGAGUCAUUUGGGGCAUACAGAGAUGCCACCGUUAGCUGGAGACCGUUUAGGGACCCCACUAGUAUCAGUAGUCUCCCAUCUUUGCCUGUGUAUUGUUUGGUGAGGGAGAAUGCCCAGUCUCUAUAGAAGUAUAUCGAUACUCCCUUGGAUUUUGUGUUGGCCAUGGCGUGAAAUUCCUGGGUAUAGUGCUUUAUCUGGAAUUUGGGUGAAUUGCGUUUGCGAAAGUGUGUCUCCUGUAAGCAGACUAUUGCCGCUUGUGUUUUUAAAAUUUCGCAAGCAGUCAUCCUGCGUUUGUGGGGGCUGUUGAGGCCUUUUACAUUCAGCG